GUGGGGAAUAUUGGACAAUGGGGGGAACCCUGAUCCAGCCAUGCCGCGUGUGUGAAGAAGGUCUUCGGAUUGUAAAGCACUUUAAGUUGGGAGGAAGGGCAGUAAGUUAAUACCUUGCUGUUUUGACGUUACCGACAGAAUAAGCACCGGCUAACUUCGUGCCAGCAGCCGCGGUAAUACGAAGGGUGCAAGCGUUAAUCGGAAUUACUGGGCGUAAAGCGCGCGUAGGUGGUUUUGUAAGUUGGAGGUGAAAUCCCCGGGCUCAACCUGGGAACUGCCUCCAAAACUGCAUGACUAGAGUACGGUAGAGGGUAGUGGAAUUUCCUGUGUAGCGGUGAAAUGCGUAGAUAUAGGAAGGAACACCAGUGGCGAAGGCGACUACCUGGACUGAUACUGACACUGAGGUGCGAAAGCGUGGGGAGCAAACAGGAUUAGAUACCCGUGUAGUCC
RNAcentral lists this ribosomal RNA (450 nucleotides) under uncultured bacterium. RNAcentral's name for it is "partial 16S ribosomal RNA". It matches the Rfam family "Bacterial small subunit ribosomal RNA", at positions 354 to 796 of the family's 1533-position model. The record is from RNAcentral.